GAUGAACGCUGGCGGCGUGCCUAAUACAUGCAAGUCGAGCGAACAGAUGAGGAGCUUGCUCCUCUGACGUUAGCGGCGGACGGGUGAGUAACACGUGGAUAACCUACCUAUAAGACUGGGAUAACUUCGGGAAACCGGAGCUAAUACCGGAUAAUAUAUUGAACCGCAUGGUUCAAUAGUGAAAGACGGUUUUGCUGUCACUUAUAGAUGGAUCCGCGCCGCAUUAGCUAGUUGGUAAGGUAACGGCUUACCAAGGCAACGAUGCGUAGCCGACCUGAGAGGGGGAUCGGCCCCCCCGGAAAUGAGACACGGGCCAGAAUCCUAAGGGAGGCAGCAGGAGGGAAUCUUCCGCAAUGGGCGAAAGCCUGACGGAGCAACGCCGCGUGAGUGAUGAAGGUCUUCGGAUCGUAAAACUCUGUUAUUAGGGAAGAACAAAUGUGUAAGUAACUAUGCACGUCUUGACGAUACCUAAUCAGAAAGCCACGGCUAACUACGU
Molecule: ribosomal RNA, 496 nt
Filed under: uncultured bacterium
Lineage: Bacteria
Description: partial 16S ribosomal RNA
Rfam family: Bacterial small subunit ribosomal RNA
Source: RNAcentral